AUACGGAAGGUCCGGGCGUUAUCCGGAUUUAUUGGGUUUAAAGGGAGCGCAGGCGGAGAUGCAAGCGUGACGUCAAAUUUCGGGGCUCAACCCCGUCUCGCGUCGCGAACUGCGUCCCUUGGUUGCGGGAAGGGGAGGCGGAACUCGUGGGGUAGCGGUGAAAUGCAUAGAUAUCACGAAGAACUCCGAUCGCGAAGGCAGCCUUCCGGCCCGUCAACGACGCUCAUGCUCGAAGGUGCGGGUAUCAAGCAGGAUUAGAUACCCUGGUAGUCCGCACAGUAAACGAUGGACACCCGCGGUUUGGCCUGUAUGGCUGAGCCGCCAAGCGAAAGCGUUAAGUGUCCCACCUGGGGAGUACGCCGGCAACGGUGAAACUCAAAUGAAUUGACGG
RNAcentral lists this ribosomal RNA (391 nucleotides) under uncultured bacterium. RNAcentral's name for it is "partial 16S ribosomal RNA". It matches the Rfam family "Bacterial small subunit ribosomal RNA", at positions 523 to 916 of the family's 1533-position model. The record is from RNAcentral.